Molecule: ribosomal RNA, 610 nt
Filed under: uncultured bacterium
Lineage: Bacteria
Description: bacterial SSU rRNA
Rfam family: Bacterial small subunit ribosomal RNA
Source: RNAcentral
UCGGUAAAAGAUGGGCCCGCAUCUGAUUAGCUAGUUGGUGAGAUAACAGCCCACCAAGGCGACGAUCAGUAGCCGACCUGAGAGGGUGACCGGCCACAUUGGGACUGAGACACGGCCCAAACUCCUACGGGAGGCAGCAGUGGGGAAUAUUGCACAAUGGGGGGAACCCUGAUGCAGCAACGCCGCGUGAAGGAAGACGGUUUUCGGAUUGUAAACUUCUAUCGAUAGGGAAGAAAGAAAUGACGGUACCUAAAUAAGAAGCCCCGGCUAACUACGUGCCAGCAGCCGCGGUAAUACGUAGGGGGCAAGCGUUAUCCGGAAUUACUGGGUGUAAAGGGAGAGUAGGCGGCAAGGUAAGCGAUAUGUGAAAGCCUUAGGCUUAACCUGAGGAUUGCAUAACGAACUAUCUAGCUAGAGUACAGGAGAGGAAAGCGGAAUUCUUAGUGUAGCGGUGAAAUGCGUAGAUAUUAGGAAGAACACCAGUGGCGAAGGCGGCUUUCUGGACUGAAACUGACGCUGAGGCUCGAAAGCGUGGGGAGCGAACAGGAUUAGAUACCCUGGUAGUCCACGCUGUAAACGAUGAGUGCUAGGUGUCGGGGAGGAAUCCUCG